UUUUCGAUGGGUUAUACAUAUAUUUAUCUCAUAAUUUUCGUGAAUACUUAUUAAACUUAACUAUAGUGAGUGCGAAAGUGACAGCAAAAAACAAGUUGCAAAUGUCAAAUACAAAAAUGAAUCGCGUUUAAUUCUGUGAAAAUCUCCAAGCGAAAAGAAAAACGUAUUUCACAAUCAAGAGGAUAAAAGAAAACGAUGAACGCGGGAGAAUUUGAGGUAUGUUAAGAUGUUGAAGGACUUGGGGUCUUGGGAGGUAGCAGAUGAUUCAGAGAGGACACCUUUAUGUUUGUGGGAAAGGGCAGGAUGCGUACCUUGCUGCAGGUGUAUAAAACAACGAAGGAUAACAAAAAUCGAACGAGUUCUUGUUCGUACUUCGGUCUGUAUGAGGAGCUAACGGAUGAGAUAUUUGGCAAUGGCAAAAUUAUCUCUGACGCACAUACGAUGCAUUUAGAGAGGGACCAGUGCAGAUGUUAGACGAUGACUCGGAAUCAUCAAUGGCAUCAUCACCGUUGCUGUCCCAAUUAUCUCAACAUGCGUACUGGUGUACGCAAGGUAUACAAGGGAUCGAGAUAUGUAUGUAUGCACCAAAAGGUUCAGAAUAAUAAGGGGAAUCGAUUUAGCCGUGCUUGUCCGUCCGUUCGUUUGUCUGUGGUGGCCGCGCCGUACUGUUACUAGAGCUAUAUUUUUUAUGUACAUAUAUAGUGGCACUUAGAGCUGCUAACAGGCAUGCCUCUGAACUUUGUCUAUUUCAUCGAUCUCCGGUAAUAAAAUUUUAGCUCAUUUAUUGCAUGAACAGUGUUUUUACUUCGAUUAGUUAUAUGUUGCAGUCCAGUUUUCAUUUCCAAGAAAAAAUAGUCGGGAAUAACGGAUCAGAACUAAUUAAUCCGUGAAUGCUGCUGUGUGGUGGCCAUUCGUAAUCAAAUUUACUAUUUUUCAUUAAAAAAAUUCAAUGAAAACAGCCUAUUUCAUUUUAAAUAUUUUCAUUGAAUUUAACUGUUUAUAUAAAAUCAACACAAUAAAUGUAAAUUAUUAAUUAAUUAACUUAAUAAUAACUAAAAUUAAUUAAAAAGUUAGUUAAAUC
Anastrepha obliqua is the source of this 1081-nucleotide long non-coding RNA. RefSeq lists it as uncharacterized. The transcript has 3 exons. The record is from RefSeq and is a predicted model, not a curated record. Lineage: Eukaryota; Metazoa; Arthropoda; Insecta; Diptera; Tephritidae.